This 349-nucleotide ribosomal RNA is filed under the name uncultured bacterium. Its description in RNAcentral is "bacterial SSU rRNA". It matches the Rfam family "Bacterial small subunit ribosomal RNA", at positions 29 to 363 of the family's 1533-position model. The record is from RNAcentral.
AACGAACGUUAGCGGCGCGCCUAACACAUGCAAGUCGCACGAGAAAGGGCUUCGGCCCCGGUAAAGUGGCGCACGGGUGAGUAACACGUGGGUAAUCUGCCCUCGAGCUGGGGAUAACAUUCCGAAAGGAGUGCUAAUACCGAAUAAGACCACGACCUCGAAAGGGGAUGCGGUCAAAGCUGGCCUCUAUACAUAAGCUAGCACUUGAGGAUGAGCCCGCGGCGCAUCAGCUAGUUGGUGAGGUAAUGGCUCACCAAGGCUAAGACGCGUAGCUGGUCUGAGAGGAUGAUCAGCCACACUGGAACUGAGACACGGUCCAGACUCCUACGGGAGGCAGCAGUGGGGAAUA